Molecule: unclassified non-coding RNA, 738 nt
Filed under: Hevea brasiliensis (rubber tree)
Lineage: Eukaryota; Viridiplantae; Streptophyta; Magnoliopsida; Malpighiales; Euphorbiaceae
Source: RNAcentral
GGCGACCCAAGCCUCCCUCGUCACCCGGGCCCUCACCACCCCCACCGCCUCCGGCGCCCUCGUCCCAUGGAAACCAUCUCCAUCCCUCUCCUUCACCCGCCCCCUCUCCCGCGGCCGGGUCAAGAUGUCAGCAGCCGAGACCCAGACUGAAGCCCCGGUGGGUUUCACCCCACCGGAGCUGGACCCCAACACCCCCUCCCCGAUCUUCGGCGGCAGCACUGGUGGCCUCCUUCGCAAGGCCCAAGUGGAGGAGUUUUAUGUCAUCACUUGGGAGUCGCCGAAGGAGCAGGUGUUUGAGAUGCCGACGGGCGGUGCCGCCAUCAUGAGGGAGGGGCCAAACCUUCUGAAGCUGGCGAGGAAGGAGCAGUGCUUGGCGCUCGGGACGAGGCUGAGGUCCAAGUACAAGAUCAAGUACCAGUUCUACCGGGUGUUCCCCAACGGUGAGGUGCAGUACCUUCACCCCAAGGACGGGGUGUACCCGGAGAAGGUGAACCCUGGCCGCCAGGGGGUCGGGCAGAACUUCCGGUCCAUCGGCAAGAAUGUCAGCCCGAUCGAAGUGAAGUUCACCGGCAAGCAGCCAUAUGAUGUAUAAGGUUAUGGGUUGUCUUCUCCCCUCUUGAAUUGAAUGCUCCUCUGCGAGUCUGUUGGUCUUUCUCCUUGUAUGUUGUUUAAAGAACUUGUAAUAUUUGAUUUGCUUUUGCAAAUAGGUAGUGUGGCAAUAUACUAAUUCUAUGAUUA